CGUCUUUUGAGAAAAAUAAAAGGUAUCGCCUGCCCACUGAGUAUUUAAAUGGCCGCGGUAUUUUGACCGUGCGAAGGUAGCAUAAUCAUUUGUCUAUUAAAUGUAGACUGGUAUGAAUGGCUGGAUGAAAAGAAGCUGUUUCAAUUUUAAUAAUGAAUUUUAGAGUUUUGUGAAGACGCUUAAAUGAAUCUAAAAGACGAGAAGACCCUAUAAAUCUUUACAAACAGCAUUUUGUGAGUAUGGUAAAUGUUAUUUGUUUUGUUGGGGCGAUAGAAGGAUAAAAUAACUCUUAUUAAAAUUUAAUAUUUAUAAUUAGAUUAAAAAUAAUGAUCCAUUAAUAAUGAUUAUAAGAACAAGUUACUUUAGGGAUAACAGCGUAAUUUUAUUGGAGAGACCAUAUUGAUAAUAAAGAUUGCGACCUCGAUGUUGAAUUAGGAUACCUUUAAGGUGCAGUUGUUUUAAAAGGUAGUCUGUUCGACUAUAAAAAUCCUACA
This 494-nucleotide ribosomal RNA is filed under the name Paralamyctes chilensis. RNAcentral describes it as "partial 16S ribosomal RNA". It matches the Rfam family "Bacterial large subunit ribosomal RNA", at positions 1816 to 2600 of the family's 2925-position model. The record is from RNAcentral. Lineage: Eukaryota; Metazoa; Arthropoda; Chilopoda; Lithobiomorpha; Henicopidae.